AGGCUUAACACAUGCAAGUCGAGGGGCAUCAGGAAGAAAGCUUGCUUUCUUUGCUGGCGACCGGCGCACGGGUGAGUAACACGUAUCCAACCUGCCCUUUACUCGGGGAUAGCCUUUCGAAAGAAAGAUUAAUACCCGAUAGCAUAAUGAUUCCGCAUGGUUUCAUUAUUAAAGGAUUCCGGUAAAGGAUGGGGAUGCGUUCCAUUAGGUUGUUGGUGAGGUAACGGCCCACCAAGCCUUCGAUGGAUAGGGGUUCUGAGAGGAAGGUCCCCCACAUUGGAACUGAGACACGGUCCAAACUCCUACGGGAGGCAGCAGUGAGGAAUAUUGGUCAAUGGGCGCUAGCCUGAACCAGCCAAGUAGCGUGAAGGAUGAAGGCUCUAUGGGUCGUAAACUUCUUUUAUAUAAGAAUAAAGUGCAGUAUGUAUACUGUUUUGUAUGUAUUAUAUGAAUAAGGAUCGGCUAACUCCGUGCCAGCAGCCGCGGUAAUACGGAGGAUCCGAGCGUUAUCCGGAUUUAUUGGGUUUAAAGGGAGCGUAGGUGGACUGGUAAGUCAGUUGUGAAAGUUUGCGGCUCAACCGUAAAAUUGCAGUUGAUACUGUCAGUCUUGAGUACAGUAGAGGUGGGCGGAAUUCGUAGUGUAGCGGUGAAAUGCUUAGAUAUCACGAAGAACUCCGAUUGCGAAGGCAGCUCACUGGACUGCAACUGACACUGAUGCUCGAAAGUGUGGGUAUCAAACAGGAUUAGAUACCCUGGUAGUCCACACAGUAAACGAUGAAUACUCGCUGUUUGCGAUAUACAGUAAGCGGCCAAGCGAAAGCAUUAAGUAUUCCACCUGGGGAGUACGCCGGCAACGGUGAAACUCAAAGGAAUUGACGGGGGCCCGCACAAGCGGAGGAACAUGUGGUUUAAUUCGAUGAUACGCGAGGAACCUUACCCGGGCUUAAAUUGCAGUGGAAUGAUGUGGAAACAUGUCAGUGAGCAAUCACCGCUGUGAAGGUGCUGCAUGGUUGUCGUCAGCUCGUGCCGUGAGGUGUCGGCUUAAGUGCCAUAACGAGCGCAACCCUUAUCUUUAGUUACUAACAGGUUAUGCUGAGGACUCUGGAGAGACUGCCGUCGUAAGAUGUGAGGAAGGUGGGGAUGACGUCAAAUCAGCACGGCCCUUACGUCCGGGGCUACACACGUGUUACAAUGGGGGGUACAGAAGGCAGCUACCUGGUGACAGGAUGCUAAUCCCAAAAGCCUCUCUCAGUUCGGAUCGAAGUCUGCAACCCGACUUCGUGAAGCUGGAUUCGCUAGUAAUCGCGCAUCAGCCACGGCGCGGUGAAUACGUUCCCGGGCCUUGUACACACCGCCCGUCAAGCCAUGGGAGCCGGGGGUACCUGAAGUACGUAACCGCAAGGAUCGCCCUAGGGUAAAACUGGUGACUGGGGCUAAG
Molecule: ribosomal RNA, 1438 nt
Filed under: uncultured organism
Description: SSU rRNA
Rfam family: Bacterial small subunit ribosomal RNA
Source: RNAcentral